RNAcentral lists this ribosomal RNA (506 nucleotides) under uncultured soil bacterium. RNAcentral describes it as "bacterial SSU rRNA". It matches the Rfam family "Bacterial small subunit ribosomal RNA", at positions 28 to 516 of the family's 1533-position model. The record is from RNAcentral.
AGAUGAACGCUGGCGGUAUGCUUAACACAUGCAAGUCGAACGGCGGCACAGGGUAGCUUGCUAUCCGGGUGGCGAGUGGCGGACGGGUGAGUAACGCGUAGGAAUCUACCUUUUCGUGGGGGAUAACCCGGGGAAACUCGGGCUAAUACCGCAUACGCCCUACGGGGGAAAGCGGGGGACCUUCGGGCCUCGCGCGGAACGAUGAGCCUGCGUCCUAUCAGGUAGUUGGUGAGGUAAUGGCUCACCAAGCCGACGACGGGUAGCUGGUCUGAGAGGACGACCAGCCACACUGGGACUGAGACACGGCCCAGACUCCUACGGGAGCAGCAGUGGGGAAUAUGGACAAUGGGGAAACCCUGAUCCAGCAAUACCGCGUGUGUGGAAGAAGGCCUUACGGUUGUAAAGCUACGUUUUAGACCGAGGAAAGAAAGAUUAGUAGCGUUAAUACCGCAAUUGGUUUGACGUUACUUGACUAAGAAAAAGCGACCGACUAACCGUCCGUCGCC